RNAcentral lists this non-coding RNA (35 nucleotides) under Plasmodium falciparum 3D7. The record is from RNAcentral. Lineage: Eukaryota; Apicomplexa; Aconoidasida; Haemosporida; Plasmodiidae.
AUCUGCUACUACAUCCGCUGUUUCUUUUGGUAGUG